This 253-nucleotide ribosomal RNA is filed under the name uncultured bacterium. Its description in RNAcentral is "partial 16S ribosomal RNA". It matches the Rfam family "Bacterial small subunit ribosomal RNA", at positions 524 to 776 of the family's 1533-position model. The record is from RNAcentral.
UACAGAGGUCUCAAGCGUUGUUCGGAUUCAUUGGGCGUAAAGGGUGCGUAGGCGGCGCGGUAAGUCCGGUGUGAAAUCUUGGAGCUUAACUCCGAAACUGCAUUCGAUACUGCCGUGCUUGAGGACUGGAGAGGAGACUGGAAUUUACGGUGUAGCGGUGAAAUGCGUAGAUAUCGUAAGGAAGACCAGUGGCGAAGGCGGGUCUCUGGACAGUUCCUGACACUGAGGCACGAAGGCCAGGGGAGCAAACAGG